CCUGUGUGUUCCAAGUUUGUCUCGUCAGAUGAAAUGGACCUGCACCUUGUCAUGUGUUUAACCAAACCCAGAGUGACGUACAACGGACUUGCCUUACCUGCCUCUACCCCCUUACCUGCCUCCACCCUCUUACCUGCCUCCACCCGGGUUGCAUGGUGCCUGCUGCUCAGUGGAGACUGCUGUGCCUGCUGCUCAGUGUAGACUGCUGUGCCUGCUGCUCAGUGGAGACUGCAUGGUACCUGCUGCUCAGUGGAGACUGCAUGGUGCCUGCUGCUCAGUGGAGACUGCUGUGCCUGCUGCUCAGUGGAGACUGCAUGAUGCCUGUUGCUCAGUGGAGACUGCAUGGUGCCUGCUGCUCAGUGGAGACUGCUGUGCCUGCUGCUCAGUGGAGACUGCUGUGCCUGCUGCUCAGUGUAGACUGCAUGGUGCCUGCUGCUCAGUGGAGACUGCAUGGUACUUGCUGCUCAGUGGAGACUGCAUGGUGCCUGCUGCUCAGUGGAGACUGCAUGGUGCCUGCUGCUCAGUGGAGACUGCUGUGCCUGCUGCUCAGUGGAGACUGCAUGGUGCCUGCUGCUCAGUGGAGACUGCAUGGUGCCUGCUGCUCAGUGGAGACUGCUGUGCCUGCUGCUCAGUUGAGACUGCAUGGUGCCUGCUGCUCAGUGGAGACUGCAUGGUGCCUGCUGCUCAGUGGAGACUGCUGUGCCUGCUGCUCAGUGGAGACUGCAUGGUGCCUGCUGCUCAGUGGAGACUGCUGUGCCUGCUGCUCAGUGGAGACUGCAUGGUGCCUGCUGCUCAGUGGAGACUGCUGUGCCUGCUGCUCAGUGGAGACUGCUGUGCCUGUAUGAUGUUGCUCUGGUGCCGUCCUACUGGAAACAUGCUGUGGUAGGAUGUGCUGAGCAAGGACGCAGGGGAGUGUUCCAUCUGCCUGGAGGAUCUGGUCCAGGGGGACACC
This is a long non-coding RNA of Hypomesus transpacificus, 952 nucleotides long. RefSeq lists it as uncharacterized. The transcript is spliced from 3 exons. Lineage: Eukaryota; Metazoa; Chordata; Actinopteri; Osmeriformes; Osmeridae. The record is from RefSeq and is a predicted model, not a curated record.